Molecule: transfer RNA, 83 nt
Filed under: Spirochaetaceae bacterium
Lineage: Bacteria; Pseudomonadati; Spirochaetota; Spirochaetia; Spirochaetales; Spirochaetaceae
Description: tRNA-Leu
Rfam family: tRNA
About the family: Transfer RNA (tRNA) molecules are approximately 80 nucleotides in length. Their secondary structure includes four short double-helical elements and three loops (D, anti-codon, and T loops). Further hydrogen bonds mediate the characteristic L-shaped molecular structure. tRNAs have two regions of fundamental functional importance: the anti-codon, which is responsible for specific mRNA codon recognition, and the 3' end, to which the tRNAs corresponding amino acid is attached (by aminoacyl-tRNA synthetases). tRNAs cope with the degeneracy of the genetic code in two manners: having more than one tRNA (with a specific anti-codon) for a particular amino acid; and 'wobble' base-pairing, i.e. permitting non-standard base-pairing at the 3rd anti-codon position.
Source: RNAcentral
GCCGGGGUGGUGGAAUGGUAGACACCGGGGACUUAAAAUCCCCUCCUCGCAAGAGGGUUCGGGUUCAAAUCCCGUCCCCGGUA